GGCAGUUCUCGGGUGAUGCACCCUGGAAUCAGGCUCCCUCCUCUCUGGUUCCGGGUGCAUCACCUGAGAACCACA
Molecule: non-coding RNA, 75 nt
Organism: Myotis brandtii (Brandt's bat)
Lineage: Eukaryota; Metazoa; Chordata; Mammalia; Chiroptera; Vespertilionidae
Source: Rfam